GAGUUUGAUCCUGGCUCAGGAUGAACGCUAGCGGCAGGCCUAACACAUGCAAGUCGCGGGGCAUCGCGGCGGUGGCGACACCGCCGGCGGCGACCGGCGCACGGGUGCGUAACGCGUGAGCAACCUGCCCGGCACAGGGGGAUAACCGCCGGAAACGGCGCCUAAUACCCCGUGACCCGAGGAGGGGCAUCCCUCCUCGCUGAAAGCCCUUAAUCGGGCGGUGCCGGAUGGGCUCGCGUGGCAUUAGCUAGUCGGCGGGGUAGCGGCCCACCGAGGCUACGAUGCCUAGGGGUUCUGAGAGGAAGGCCCCCCACACUGGGACUGAGACACGGCCCAGACUCCUACGGGAGGCAGCAGUGAGGGAUAUUGGACAAUGGGCGGAAGCCUGAUCCAGCCAUGCCGCGUGAAGGACGACGGCCCUACGGGCCUUAAACUUCUUUUGGCGGGGAGCAAUAAGGGCCACUUGUGGCCCGAUGAGAGUACCCGCCGAAUAAGCAUCGGCUAACUCCGUGCCAGCAGCCGCGGUAAUACGGGGGAUGCGAGCGUUAUCCGGAUUUAUUGGGUUUAAAGGGUGCGUAGGCUGCGCUUCAAGUCGGCGGUGAAACCCCCGCGCUCAACGCUGGGUCUGCCGUCGAAACUGUCGCGCUUGGAUGGGGGCGCCGCGGGAGGAAUGUGUGGUGUAGCGGUGAAAUGCAUAGAUAUCACACAGAACACCGAUUGCGAAGGCAUCUCGCGAGUCCCAAAUUGACGCUGAUGCACGAAAGCGUGGGUAUCGAACAGGAUUAGAUACCCUGGUAGUCCACGCAGUAAACGAUGAUGACUAGCUCGCGGGCCUUUAGCGGUUCGCGGGCCAAGCGAAAGCGAUAAGUCAUCCACCUGGGGAGUACGGCCGCAAGGCUGAAACUCAAAGGAAUUGACGGGGGCCCGCACAAGCGGAGGAACAUGUGGUUUAAUUCGAUGAUACGCGAGGAACCUUACCCGGGCUCGAACGGCGCGUGCAUGCGGCUGAGAUGCCGCUUUCGCAAGACCCGCGCCGAGGUGCUGCAUGGUUGUCGUCAGCUCGUGCCGUGAGGUGUCGGCUUAAGUGCCAUAACGAGCGCAACCCCUGCCGCCAGUUGCCAUCAAGUGAAGUUGGGGACUCUGUCGGGACUGCCACCGCAAGGUGCGAGGAAGGGGGGGAUGACGUCAAAUCAGCACGGCCCUUACGUCCGGGGCGACACACGUGUUACAAUGGCGGCUACAGAGGGUUGCCACCCGGCGACGGGGAGCUGACCUCAAAAGGCCGUCUCAGUUCGGACUGGAGUCUGCAACCCGACUCCACGAAGCUGGAUUCGCUAGUAAUCGCGCAUCAGCCACGGCGCGGUGAAUACGUUCCCGGGCCUUGUACACACCGCCCGUCAAGCCAUGAAAGCCGGGGGCGCCUGAAGCGCGCUGCCGCGAGGGACGCCCAAGGGCGAACCCGGUGAUUGGGGCUAAGUCGUAACAAGGUAGCCGUACCGGAAGGUGUGGCUGGAUCACCUCCUU
Molecule: ribosomal RNA, 1524 nt
Filed under: Bacteroidia bacterium feline oral taxon 115
Lineage: Bacteria; Pseudomonadati; Bacteroidota; Bacteroidia
Description: bacterial SSU rRNA
Rfam family: Bacterial small subunit ribosomal RNA
Source: RNAcentral